Alosa alosa (allis shad) is the source of this 2119-nucleotide long non-coding RNA. RefSeq lists it as uncharacterized. The record is from RefSeq and is a predicted model, not a curated record. The transcript is spliced from 4 exons. NCBI's taxonomy places the organism in Eukaryota, Metazoa, Chordata, Actinopteri, Clupeiformes, Clupeidae.
CAAGCCUCGAACCGGGGCUUCAUCUGGCACGCGCCUUUCUGCUCGACACAAGCUCCGAAGCCUCGCUUCAUUGGGCACAUCACUUGAUCACUAGCGGUUAGUGCCGUGGUUACAUCCAGCUCCUUGUCUCCACAAGCCCUCGCCGGCUACAAAUUGUGUCUGCGUGUGUCAAUGAAAAUUCACCGGUUUAGAGUGUGACCGCUAACUUGCUGAGUGCUGUUUGUUAUGCUGAGAGUUUUGGCCUGGGUGUGUACGAGUAAAAACCAGACGGCUUAAAGUGAUCGCUACGGAAUUACAACUAAAUAAGCUCCUGGUUAGACGCCGCGGCCUGCGUUCAUACAGGAGGACCGUCGUACGCCACCUUGGCCACUGUUUUUCCUGUGCCCUGUUUUAGUAUUCAGUUGUGUGUGUGUGUGUGUGUGUUUGUGUGAGUGCUGCAGUCUCUUGUGUAUGUUGCUGUAUGUUUCAUGUUUGUCUGUUGUAUGUUGUAUGCAUUCUAGGCCAUUGGGUUAGUGAGUGCAAUAUUCGGGAGGGGUAACAAUCUUGUUGUGUGGUCACUGGAUUGCUGUGUAUAGUAAAUGAAUUGCUGUGUGUGUGACCUGUGACGUGCCCUAUAUAUAUUUUGUGUUUGCUGAUUGAAACUUGCUGAAUCUUUGAGUGUUACUCAUCCAAACACCUUAAUUUUGCACAUUGUUGUCCCUGUGAGUUUGCUGCCCAGAGGCCUAGCGUCUGUUCUAAUACAUCUACGUAAAUAAUAAAAUUAAUUGUUUUUUACUUUUCUAAUAUUUCAGCCCCUCUCUCCAUUUAUUUCCCUUUAUUGGGAUAGCCUGCUUGUAACAUCUAAAACUCCGAUUGUUGGUUAUCAACCUGUAACUGGUUUAAAGGCCCCCUAGGGGUCACAAUAGCUUUGGCUAACUAAGUCACAUAUGUCAAACUCAAGGUCUGGGAAAAUGUCUAUACCUGGACAGUGAGAUUUUUUUACAUUUUCUAUUAAUAUACUGGCACAUUGUAGCAGGUUAAGUGGAAUCACAUAAUUGUGCUGCAGCACACAAAUGUCAUUGCCCCCCUUCCUGUGUGCUAUUAAUACUAGUAAUUAGCAGCUUUGACUCAGCGGUUGAAAAUAAAAGUAGAACUGAGCUUUUCGAGUCAGAUGGGAGGUACAGUACAUGUUCACUGUCAACAAGCAUAGCCUAAACCUGUCUGUCUUUUUCGUAGAGCUGAUGUGGCCAUACAUAAGGGAUAUUUCAUAGUCUGUCAGUCAGUAUAGGAAAGAAAUUCUAACAUGAUGAACAUCACCCCAAUGCAAUUCAACUUUCUGCAGCAUUUGAAUAAUAAUUUCAAAAUAAAAUAUUAGGAGACAUUAUAAAAUGAAAAACCAAAUAAGAUACAUAUGGGAAAACUGGAUAGGCAGCAGAGGCAGCAACAUAUAAUGGAGCUAAAGAAGUCCCUGUAACACCUGUAACACUUAGUUUAAGGAACACAUGUUAACCAUUUAAACAUAAUUAAUAUGUGUAUGUAGUAGUGCUCAACAAUGUCUGUAUUAAACUUCAUUUCAGAUUUAUUAGGUCUUUAUCAUUUUAGCAUACAUUUUUUGUCCCCUUAGAAUCAGAAGGUUCUAUCUGUGUUAGUUCUCUGAGGGCCAGAUGUACUAAGGCUUUUGAACCCACUUCAGGCGUAUUUCUGAACGUACGUAAAAUCAUGGUGAGAUAUUUACAAACAGGGCGCACAGAGGUAAAAGCGCAGACUGCCUGUCACGGGGCCUGAAAAUGGCAAAUUGCGCUUUUCCGUGUCAUGCAUAUCCAUUCAUGGGAGGAUCAAGGGGAAAGUGGGAGUUUCCUAUAAAGAGAUAGGAGGGAAGGUGUAAAGAGCACCUAUAAUUAUGUUUUCUGCGGUAUGUACAAAAAAUGUCCUUGUAAAAGCCUCUGCCUUGUAAGGCAGGUGUUGUAAUCCAAAUUGCAGUUAAAUGUUUCAAUAAGAGAACCUUUCAAAGACAACAGAAUCGCUAUUUACAGCACCAGUUUUGCAUCUUUGUACUAUAUCAAAAGCAGCCUUUCGUUGGCCUUUCAAAUGUCUUACUUUCACUUUCACAUCAUCCACUUAAACUUUCCUACUUGCUAGA